Molecule: non-coding RNA, 390 nt
Organism: Toxotes jaculatrix (banded archerfish)
Lineage: Eukaryota; Metazoa; Chordata; Actinopteri; Toxotidae
Source: the annotation of a RefSeq genome assembly
AUGACUUUGAUCUCCAUCCUCAUCUGGACUGUCCUCUGCUGCUGCUUCACAGAGUCCAGAGGACAGGUCACAGUGACUCAGCCUGGAGCAGUGAGCUCUGCUCUGGGACGCACCGUCACCAUCAGCUGUAGAACCAGUCAGAACGUUUAUAGUUCAAGCUAUUUACACUGGUACCAACAGAGAGAUGGAGACAAACCUAAACUGCUUAUUCGUUAUACUUCCUCUCGAGUAUCAGGGAUUCCAGCUCGUUUUACAGGCAGUGGAUCAAACUCUGACUUCACUCUGACCAUCAGUGGAGUCCAGGCUGAAGAUGCAGCAGUUUACUACUGUCAGAGUUAUCACUAUAUCAACAGUCAGCGUGUGUUCACACAGUGAAAAAGCGUCGUACAA